RNAcentral lists this ribosomal RNA (253 nucleotides) under uncultured bacterium. Its description in RNAcentral is "partial 16S ribosomal RNA". It matches the Rfam family "Bacterial small subunit ribosomal RNA", at positions 524 to 776 of the family's 1533-position model. The record is from RNAcentral.
UACAGAGGGUGCGAGCGUUAAUCGGAGUUACUGGGCGUAAAGCGUGCGCAGGCGGUUUUGUAAGCCAGAUGUGAAAUCCCCGGGCUUAACCUGGGAAUGGCAUUUGGGACUGCAAGGCUUGAGUGCGGCAGAGGAGACUGGAAUUCCUGGUGUAGCAGUGAAAUGCGUAGAUAUCGUGAGGAAGACCAGUGGCGAAGGCGGGUCUCUGGACAGUUCCUGACGCUGAGGCGCGAAGGCCAGGGGAGCAAACGGG